Mus musculus (house mouse) is the source of this 11867-nucleotide long non-coding RNA. RefSeq annotates it as predicted gene, 31566. NCBI's taxonomy places the organism in Eukaryota, Metazoa, Chordata, Mammalia, Rodentia, Muridae. The record is from RefSeq and is a predicted model, not a curated record. The transcript has 6 exons.
CUCCGCCAGGAAGGAAUGGACCUCAUGCGUGUCUUAGCCUACGAAGACCUGUACCAGACCUCGGCGCAACAGGACUGUAAGGAAAAUCCACACAGCAAAUCAGAACCUGACCUCAGACACAUAGACUCAGAAGAGUGUCUUGGAGAAGCAGCUGCAUUGCCUGCUGUGGGUAAUCAGAGCCAUCUGCAACUGAGGCUGAGCUGAAUAAAGCUGGAGUCUGAAGGGGCAAUCUUAAUAUGCCUGAAGGGAAUAAUUUAUACCACUCUACAAGGCUCUGGGAACAUAGCAGAAGAGGGCAGGAAGAAGGUGAGCCUUGGAGGGAGAUGCAGGGUAGCUAUUUCCUCUGGGCUUAUUGUAACUAUUGGUCUCCAGGGGCAGAGAUUGUGGUGAUCCAAUCUUGGUCCCACAGUUAUGACCCUCGGGAUUGAGAGGUCUGUGUGACAGUCAUAGAGCUGUUAGCAUUCCCCGAGCUCUACCCUCCAUUCCUGGUCCUCUGUACAUGUGCUGUGCUGCAGUAGUGGUGAGUGAGGUUUGACUCUGGUGUAAGGGGAGUGGGAACACGAUACGAGUGCUGAAGGGUCAGCCAUGAGUAACUAAAAAGUACACUGCUAAGUCAGACCCCCAGCGGGGGACAGUGGGGACAGUGGGGACAGUGGGGACAGUGGAUAGCUCUUUGUUUCCCAGGAGUAAUGCAUAUGAAAUGGCCAGCAACAAGGCUGUUCCCAGCAGCCCUGAACUCAGACAGUCAUGCCAUCAUCAGUUAUGGUCUAUGCAAGCAUGGGCAUGGCAGUAGGCGAGCCAGCAUGAGAACACAGGCCACACGCAGGACUGCACUUGCACAGAGCUCCAGCAACAAAUGCUGUGAGCGCCAUCAGAGUGGGACUGGGCCGCCUUAGUUGUGGCCAGGGAGACGGUGGCUGACACGCCAGUCACUUUGAGUCACAGCACAAACUUCUCUGUUCACUUGACUUUUCUUUUGGAGCUUCUAAGAUCUGGGCUACUUUGCUUUUGGUCUUUUUCUCUAAACCUUGGUGUGCUAACUGUGCCCUUGGCUUAGCACCUGACUUGUGAGCAGCCAUGGCCCAUGCCCAGCUCCUGACCUGCCUGCAGUGGUCGCAUCUGGUCAGCAUGAGGCAGUGUUUCCAGUAGUGGAGGUCCAGGCCCUCUUCUGUGAAGGACUCAUUCCUCUCCCCACAAAAGAUACACAGACUACAAUGAAACAGAAAAGAUGGAAGUGAAGGCCAGGCUCUGGCUACUGUGACCACACAACCAUGACUGCACUGGACUGAGGAUUCUCUGGACACCACCUGUCCUGAAAUGCUCAGUGCUCUGAGGGCAGGCUGCACCUCCUGGGAAGGACAGCACGGCUCAGGGUUCUCACACAAUGCCAGGAGAAAGGUCCUCACCAAGCAGGAUAAAGAGCUUAAGGUCCCUCUGGUGUGGCCUUGCUGGCACAGUCCUACUGCAGGUGGCAUACGUCACAGAAGGGCUGGAGGACAGCUCAGGCCCUCAAAGAAUGGACCUGCCCCUGGAUACUGCAGGUCAUUAUUUGCAGCAGGAUGCCCAGGGCGACGGUUGUGGGGUAAAGAAGGGACUGUGGCUGAGCCUGGCCCUUGCCAAUGUGCAACAGCUUAGGGCAAUUUCCAGGCUUUGGGAUCAGGGAGAGCCAGGGAGUCCCGCCCAGAGCCUCUCCAAGCCUCCCAUGCAACAGAUCCAAGCAGCAUCACUUACUUAUCCAAAAAGUGGUUAGCUGGGAUUUCUGGAGUGUCGGGUAGGACAGCUUUCCUUCCUUGAGGGUCUGAGGAGAUUAAAAGAGCACAAUUUAGGUAACAGUUGGUUGAAAUGUUUAAAGUCUCAGUAAAAAAUAGUCAUUUUUAAAAAUGUCAUUUUACAAUCCAAUAGUAAAGCAUCCAAUACAAUGUUCAUAUUCAAUUGGGGCUGCAGAGCCAAGAGAAUUUUUUUUUUCCUUUUUCCUCAAUGCUAGGGGUCAAAUCUGGGGCCUUGCCCACCCCUUGCACUGCCACGAAUGCACAUGCAGCCCCUGGUUUGAGAGCCUUGCUAUGUAGUUCACAGCUGUGUCAAACUUGCUGCGGUGCUUUGAGUGACACCAGUCCCCACAGGCUCACGUGUCUGAAUGCUCCUUUCCCAGCGGGUAGAACUGUGCAGGAAGGAUUAGGACAUGCUGCUCUGUUGGGAGAAGCACGUCACUGGGGUUGGGCUUGCCAGUCUGUCUGUCUGCCUGUGCCCGUGGAUCAGAUGUGAGCUCUCAGCUGUUUCAGCACCAUGCCUGCCUGCGGCCAUGCUCCUGCCAUGAUAUACCUUCUGAAACCACAAGCCCCAGAUAACCUUUUUCUUCUGUAGGUUGCCUAGGUUAUGACAUCACAGCAUCGAAGCGUAACUAAGACACAUGCCACCCCCACCUCACCUGCCACUCCCCAGGCUCACGCGUGUGGCACCAGGGCUGCUAAAGUGACACUUGAAACUUGCUAUGUAGCCCAGGCUGGCCCCAAGCUCACAAGAGGACGUCCAGCCUCUGAAGCUGGGAUUAGAGGUGCGUGCACCCUGCUCGGCAAAGGCGUGCUUCCAGGGCUUGCUCACCUUGAUUCCUGAGCUUCACAGCCUCACUCUCCUUCUCCUACGACACAAAGAGAAGAAGAUCAGGAGUGAGCUGUGGCGUGUGUGUGUGGCGUGUGCAGCCCACAGGGACAGGAAGCAGCAGCUCCACUCUCUCUCUCUGUUUUCUAUACUCUCCUCUCACACUGGCCUUUGGUGGGAAGCUCUGGGGACCUUUAGCCCUCCUUAGGCAGAUAUAUUUAGACAUGUUUGCUGCUUUCCCACUUCAUGUUUUUUUCCCAUUUAUGUAGAGAGCAGCACGUGAGCCCUCUGCACAUCUCCCAGCAUCCUUGGAGUGUGCAGCAACUGUGGUUACCGGUAUAAGCAGUGGCAGUGUGAGCCUUGGUGCAAGCACAGAGCUCAGAGGACCUCUUCGGGGAGUCGGUUCUCCAUUUAUCAUGUGGUUCCAGGGACUGAACUAAGGUCAUGAAGUCUGGCAGUGAAGACCCUGUACCAUCUUGCCUGCCUGCCUACUUUGCUUUUAACUUCAGGAACUUAACUGCAUAAUUAAUGGUCAGAAACCAACUCCAACCUAGAAGUAUGAUGCACAGCAAAGUUUCUACUCUACACAGAGCCUGCUCCUACCGCAUGCCCCAACAGCCCUCAGAGAGACCUCAAGUCCAGUGCCUGGUAGAUUUCCCUGCAUGACUGAAAUCACACCUUCAGCUGCAGGCCACUUCCAGGAUAGGGCAACGCUGGUGCACAACUCACAUGCAGGACAUGGACAGGGCAGAGCCUUGCUCGGGGACCAGCUUCUUACACAGAUUGUGCUCUGCCACAUGGGGCUCAAGAAAGAACCUAGCCGUUUGUUCCUGCCUCAGGUCACUUCCUAAACACAACCCGCAGUGUCAUCAGUCCAUGAAGGCCUACUCACCCUCACCUCAGCCUCCGUUGGUAAGACAGAGCCAUCUAUCUUAGCAAACCCCUCAAAGAUGGCUUUGUAGAGAAGGUUCCUGCGUGUGGCGCUGUCGUCUGGAGGGAGGUGCUCCAGGGUGAGGGCUGGGUGCUGUCUGUACAUGUCCAGGAUGAUCCUGACCGCUGUCUCUCGCACCUCAUACACCCUGUGCUCCAGGGCACUCACUGCAAACUGCAAGGAAAGCAGGCUUAGCUCUGCUACUGAUUUCUGAAUGACCAAGUUAACUUCUCCCAGCACAAAGCGACCUGAGCAUACUGCAAAGACUUGGAAAAUAAAUACGAGGCCAAGAGGAGACAAGCACUCCACUGUGCGGACACACAGAGGGAGCCACCCACAGCUCUCCACUGCCCGGGCACACAGAACACUCAUGUCCAGUGAGUGCUUUGCCUUUUCCAUGUGGCGGGGAUGCCGUGCCUGGAUUAAUUGAGAUUACAGACGUGCACGGCCAGUUGUGUGUGGUGGUGUGGUUCGUGGGUUUUCAUGCUUGUCAGGUGAGGACUUGGUCGGCUCCCCACUGCUGAUGGCGACCUGUGCACUCUACCCUCUCACCAGUUGGUGUAGAAACAGCAAGAAGAUCCUAGCUACUCCCACAUGCUCUCAUUAGACGGAGCUGGGGCCAGGGUCAUGCUGCACGAGGCUGGCUCACCUUCAUCACAUUGUCCACCGUGAAGCCUGAGCUCUCGGUGCCCAGGUCUCUCAGCAGCCGGGCCAGCAGGUCCACCUGGCUCAUGGCCAGAUGAACGGAAGCAUUGGCCUUCAGCGGCUGCACCAAGUAGGACGGAAUGAGCUGGAGAGACUUCACCUCCUUAAACAAGGCCAUUUCCUACAGGAUACAGCACAGUGUGUUAACUGCUAGGCAAAAGCUGGAGGUUACUUAGUACGACUUAGCAUGACAUCACACUGAACCCCGAAGAGAGACAACAGGGAAGUGAGGGACAGAGCAAGCCACGGCCAGCUGUGAAUGGGAGCUAGGGAUUCUGGGAAAGAAUCAGAGAGGGGGCAAAACCACAGACCCGAGGUAGAGAUCAACAGGAGAGUCAGGAAAACCUUACAGAAAACAGUCAGAGCCCCAGCCUUCCAUUCUUGGUGUUACUCAACCACAAUGCAAACGUGUUCUGCGUUUAAGAUUUGGGAAGAGAUUAGGCCUAGAGCUGGACCUCAGCACGAGUGUUAACGGUGCUUUGGCCUGUGUGCUCACUCGUGAAGGAGCACAAGCCCCAUUGCACUGCUUUCCUUGUUGGCACUACACAGGUUCUCACUAUGUAGCCUAGACCUCCUUGAACUUACCACAUGUGGUGACAUGUGGAAACAAUCUAUCUUUGUACUUAGGCCAUGAGUGAUGGCUCAGGUACAAAGGACACAGGCACAGUGAAUAUGACCUCUGGGGGGUCAGGACAGCCGGUUCCUGAAACAAGUGGGCCUGAGGGUGGAGGCUCAGGGCCAAUUAACCUGAUGACUUUGAAAGUUUAUUUAUUUUUUAUGUGUGAGUGUGUCUAUGUGCACUUGUGCUCUGUGUCUGUGUAUGCCCUGUGGAGCUGACUCACAGGAGGGUGGAUGUGAGAAGUCACACCUGGGUGCUGGAGCCCAGCCCCUUCACCACUGCUGCUGGCUUUGUAGCCCAACCUGGGAACACUCGGCACAAGGUAAUGUCAGAUGCAGGAGGCUUUCGACUACCCAGAAUCUAACAGGGCAAGUCAUGUUCCUGGAGCCCUAGCACGGGAGGCUCAGACAGGGGAGCUGUGAGUUAAGGGUAGCAUGGCUAUAUGGUAAAACAUUUAACACGGCUGAGUGUGGUGAUGCACUCCUGCAGUUCUGGCUGUGGAGGGCUGUGGAGGGAGGGCAGAGGAGGGAGGGCUGUGGAGGGAGGGCAGAGGAGGGUGGCCUGGGUGACACCCAUCUCUUAAGGAAAAACAAAAACCAAACCAACUAGCUCACUAACACCUUCCUGCCCCUGUCUUUCAGAGGCAGAUGCAUCUUUAGCAGUGACCCCGUGCAAGCCUUGUGCUACAUGCACACUGCAGCGCUUCUGUCCCGCUGGCUUGCCUCAUUUCUUCCUAUUGUUUUCCCUGAACAUUAAAUUUCUUAAUAAAGCCAGGUCUUAGAUUCUUCACAUUUUGAGAAAUGGAAAACAUUCCAAUAUGGAUGUAUGCACUCACAAAACUCUGCAUCAAACUUUAAGGAAUUCUUAGAUUUUCUCAAGUCUAGAUAUGGAGCGUAACUAGAGGCUCCCUAAGUCUGCUAGGCAGGUCACCCUGUGACCCUGUGCUUGGGAGGCCAAGGCAGGAUGCAGGAAACCCUGCCUCACACUGAGAAAGAAACCAAAACAACCUUCCUGAACUAGAUGGCUCACGAGCAAAUUUAAAUAAAGCCAAAUAUAUUUUUGUAGUACUUGAUAAACUGUGUGUCAACCCUCCUGCCUGUUUAUGUGAAUAUUUCACACACACAGCCCACAGUAAGUGUGCUUGGUGAGAGAAUGAAAACGGCUGAACAGCAGUGUGUCCAUUCUCGUUCUCCUCUUCCUUUUUGUUAACAGUCCUCUGGGUGACUCCGCUGUACUUAUUCUGUGCAUGUGUGGGUGAGAGUGGAGGGCAGAGGUUUCUUUCAACCCUGUGGGUCCACCUUAGGGAUUGAACUUAGGCUGUCAGGCUUGGUGGCAGGCACUUUUCACCCACUGAGCCAUCUCAUAACCCUUUCUUUUGUUCCUGUGAAUGGUGUGCCUACAUGUGUUGGUACAUGUUGACAUGUGUGUGCAUUCAUGUUGGCAUGUGUGUGCAUUCAUGUUGGCAGGUGUGCAUGCAUAUUGGCAUGUGUGUACAUGCCUAUUGGCAUGUGUGUCUAUGCAUGUUGGCACGUGUGCAUGUGUGUGCAUGCAUGUCAUCAUGUGUGUACAUUGCCUAUUGGCAUGUGGGUGUCUAUGCACGUUGGCAUGUGUGUGUAUGCAUGUUGAGGUCCAAGGUUGAAUUUCAGGGGUCUUCCUACAUAUCUCUUCCACUUUAUUUUGAGGCAGGGUCUUGUAAUCAGUCCCAGUGACUGCUGAUUUGGCUAGAUUUGCUAGGAAGCUUGAUCCAUGGAUACGAUCUGCACCUUCCAGGUCUGUGACUGAGGCAAGCCACCAUGCCUACCUGGUACUUAUAUGGAAUUUUUUUUUUUAAAGAUUUUAUGUAUAUGAGUACACUGUUGCUGUCUUCAGACACAUCAGACGAGAGUGUUGGAUUCCAUUACAGAUAGUCGUGAGCCAUCAUGUGGUUCCUGGGAAUUGAACUCAGGACCUCUGGAAGAGCAGUCAGUGCUCUUAACCGCUGAGCCAUCUCUCCAGCCUGGGCUCUAGGGAUCUUAACUGUGAGUUUGCAACGGCUUUAACUGCUGAGCCGUCUGCUUAGUUUUAUACAUUCCUUAUUUCCAUCUCCAAUAAGCUGGGUGUGGUAUUAAGCCUGCACUCUGAGUACUUGGAAAGCUAAGGCAGAGGUCACUGAGUCUGAAGAAGCCAGCCUGGGCUCUACAGUCAGCUAGAGUCCAGCCAGCAUUACAGAACGAGAAUCUGUCUCAAAACAACAACAAAAGCUUAGGUCUACACAGAACUUGUCUCUCGAGCACUAGGGGAGCAUGAGAGCAACUGUCGGAGGCUUUGCAGCACAGAGAACCCUGCAAGGCAGAGUCAGACAGCAGUAAGACGGUGACAGGGAGGUCCCAACCUGGAUGAAAUUCAAGGCCAUGACACGGAGGCGGGCAGAGGAGUCUCCAGCUCUGGCGAGUAGAAGGGGGAAAGCUCUCUCCACACAGUGCGUUGUGUCAAGUUUGCCCAGCUUGUGCUUGGGAAUAUACUGUGUAAUUAUCAUUUUCAGCAAUUUCAAUGAAGCCUGAAAGACCUACAGAAAAUGAGGUAGACAGAUCAGCUGUGUGGGGGGAGUUCAACUAAUGUGAACAUUAGACGAUGAACUGCUUCCACAUAUAGCACCCCACGCCAGAGCCCUGCACCCAUCCUGUUCCCUCACCACUUGACGAUGCUGACCAUGUGACAACAGCUACCCAUCCUGAACUAACCCUAGUCCUCAACCUGUCUUGUCCGGAGUGUUCAUUCGAAAGCCUGCUCAGAGCUGCAGAAGCAAGGGCAACUCGUGGCCCCUCAGGAGAACCCAGGAGAGCUGAGUGCUAUCUGUGGGGCUCUGCCUCUCUGCUGAGGAUGACGGAAAAACAGAGGCUGUGCAAAGCUGAGCAAGUGUCCAGGUAAGGACAGCCCCUCCCAUCUGUCAUUUACCCAGCCUCUUGCUGGGGACCCUCAUUCCUGGUCUCACUGGAAGCUGAGUCACAGUUAUAUCAGUGACCUGGGGACAGCAGGUUGAGGGACUUACUGAGGCCACAAUGUCCUUUAUGGCUCUUCGGAUGAGAAAGACAGAUGCUCGGAGCAUGUUUUUCAAAUCUUCCUUCUGGGUUCCAACAGGCAUCUCCAUCAGCUUCUUGUACAACGCCAGUAGUGCAUCUUCUCGGCAGGACCACAUCUUAGAAUAGGCCCCAGCCACCUGUCAGAAAACAGCAGGUCUGCUUUACUCCAGGAGGUAGCCUGUCCAGCACCACACAGACACCCUAGGCUGCCUGCCAUCUUGCACUUUAAGGCUCUUUUCUAGUAGGGAGCUGGUCUGUAGGUGGAGCUGUGUUAAUGGGAAAUGAAGACCUGAGAACCUGCACACUGUGGACACUGACUCCUGCAAGGACACUAACCUCCACAUGUGAUUGGCAGGAUGUGCACUCCAUACACCUCCCCUCUUUCCAGGUACAGGCAUAUAGACAUACAGACUGAAACAGAUAGACAGACACACAGACACAGACAUACAGACUGACUCACAGAUAGAUGCAAACACAGACUUGAUACACACACACACACACACACAGAUAUACAGACUGACACACAUAUGCACAUGUUAAACAAAGUAAAAAAAAUGCAAAUGCAGCUGUCUUCUCUUCUUUCUCUCUGUGUGCUCUGUGUGCCUGUGCACAUGUGCAUGCCAUUGUGAUUGUGUGCAUAACUUGGUUUUCCUUUUUUACCAAGGCUUCGCCUAAGGUGUCGAUGGCAGCACUGGCUUCUCUCAAGGCCUUCUCUGUCAAGGGCUCUGGCUCCCCUGCGACACCCCGCCUCCGGACAUCACUGUCUGCCUCUUUCACUUCUGCCUCUGCAGAUGCUUCCCCCAACUGCUUCCGAGUAACAGGAAGAGGCCGUUCAUCAUAGGGCAGGACUUCCGUCUGUAAGGUAAGCAGAGGUGAGCCAAGUGCUGUGGAGCUGAUGCUCUGGGUGGGGGCUCUGCCCGGGAUGCCUCCUCCACAGCCUGGUGGAACCCUUCUGGUUCAGCCGACGUACGGCGCAGGAGAAAGGUCAUCCAUUUCCUCUCAGACUAGUGUGAGGACAUUCUUUUACUGUACGACACAGAGCAAUGCACACGCUCGCUAUGGGAGGCCUCAGAGCCGGCACAGCCUCCUAGUGAGACAGUCUGUACCGAGUCCUCUGGUGCUCCUUGGGGAGCAGCUGCCGUCCCAGGCUUCAGUCUUCCGGCACCUAACUCACCAGGCACCUUUCUUGCUGUCCACACAGCAGUGAGGACGGACCUUCUGGCCUCACAGCCGUGUCCCGUCUUAGACAAAGGCACGGAAUUAAAAAGGCAAGCAUACAGUGGUGAGAGCAGAGAGAGCAUUCCUGACUGGGUCCUGACACCCGGUGACAAGUCCCUGACUCUUCCUGAGACAGUAGGUGAGUACACACCUGUAAGGAUACUUUUCUCAAAGUCCGAAAUCACAAACGCCAACCCUGAGUCAACACGGAUAUCUCAACUAGGCCGCAGAGGCAUUGCUACCCUAAGCUGACCCAUGAACACGAAGCCCCUCUGCUUUGCAAUACAUGCUCUGGAAGGCCUGGUGGGGCAGCCAGCAUAGGCCUCUCUGUUCUGGCUGCUGCUUCCGAGGCUGGCAUGGGACUGAGGGUGAUCCAGCUGGACUGAAGUGGGGACCCCUUGGCAAAAUGUUCUCCUGUGCCAGUGGGUAGCCAAGGAAGACAGGAGCUGCAGACUCAAGUGAUAGAAAGAAACCAGGCUUCUGAUGAGACUUGGGCUCCUGAGUCAAACCAAUCCUGGAACCACAGGACCUGUUGUGCUCUUUGUCAGAGCAGUCAGUACAGAGUCCAGUGUUCUCAGGUUUUCUGUCACCAUGCUGUUGUAAAGGCACGGUGACCAUGGGCACGUGGUGCUAUGUGAAAAGUAUGCCCAGCAGAAUUCACCCAUUUAUUCUGAGAUAGGAUCACUCCAUGGCCUUGGACACCCUGGUACUUGCUAUGUAGUAUAAGCUGAGCUGGCAGCAGUCCUGCCCCGGCUCCUGGAGAGCUCCAGGCGCUCGUGCCUCACACAUGCUCUUUUACAUCUCCAAGCAAUGCUUGAGGCAGAUAUUUUCUUUCAGAAAAACCAGGGGCUCAAAAGAUAGACUGAGGCCACAGAUGAAGAACUACAGAUGUGGCUGUCAAGGAGUGGCCAAUGGGAAUUUGCUCCCUCUAGCUCUGCUCUAGCCUGUGUCCCAGCGCCCUCCUGGAUGCAGGGAGGGCUGGCCCUGCAGGAGGCAUGGACCUGUUCUGAGAUUAGCACCCGUGACAACCCAUGCUGCUGACUGUCACGAUGGAGGAGAGUAACUUACAUGGCUCCUUGGGGCGUGGCCUGCAGCAGGUGGGGACGGGUCCACUGCUGAAUGCUGAGGAGAAGAUGCUGAGGGCUUCUCCUGGAGGACAGGGCCAGCAAACGAGUCUUCAGCUACCAGCUUUUCUGUGCGAGGGAGUGAGGACACGGCCUUCCAGUGCUGGGGACUGCUGGGAGAUGCAAGGGGCUGGAGGGGCAAGGCGAAUGGCCUCUGCAUCUGGAGGGAAAAUGGGACAAAGGCAUGAGUGCUGCUCAUCAUCUGACUGCAGGAAGACUGUGCUGAGAGACACCUGGCAUGCCAGAAAGUAAGGACAGUUCACGAGCACAUAAUGGUCCUAGGCCUCAGCUAAGGCCUAGGGCCAUGGCAUCUGCUCAGCUGUGUCUGCCACAGUUACAGAGCAGACUACAGAGCAGAGUCACAUCCUGACUUAGCAUGGCCAUGGGUGCUUGUGCAGGGUUUAGCAACACAUGUCCUAGAAGCACAACGGGCAAGGCCCUGGGUUCAGAGCCAGGCUCUGACCCAGGUAGCACCCUGGGGUUCACACUGCUCUAUGUUUCUAUCUAGAAGGAAGGCAGAGACAUGCAGCCCAUCCACACCAGCCUGAGGCUGGCAGCCUAGAGAGUGGGACUGCUACAGGUACUACAACCCACACAAUAUGGAGACCAGUCUGGAGGGAUGCCAAGGCCGAUCUUCCUGACUCUAGCCUCUGUGAACCCUAGAAGAUUGCAUCACAGCAGAGACCUGCUGAUUGUUCAAGACAUGGAGUACCUGCCAGGGUCCUCAGGGAGCCUGAGCACAAUCCCCACGUGCCCCCACCCUGAGGCCAGCUCUGACCUCUGGCUCGCCCUGCAGAAGGCCAUGUAGUUCCAGCUGUUCGUACACCUGGGCACGGUAGCGAGCCAUCUGCUGUUUCUUCUCCUUGGCCAGAUCGUAGUCUUCCUUCUCCACCGCACAGCGCUUCUCCACUUCAUAGCGCCCUAGGCGCUCACCGACCUGCAGCACACAACGUGGGCAUCUACUCUCAUAGGACAUGCGUGGGUGGGAGGGUCUGUGCUGUAUGCUGUCUCAAUACCUGGCACUCAGGAGUCCCACACGGCCAAAGCCUCUGGCUCACUGAUCCCCAACGCUACCUGCCUGGGACUCUAACUGCAUCUCUGCUCCUCAGCCUUCAGGAACCUUCAGGGGUGGUGCAGAGGAGAUCCAGCCUGGGCAGGUGAGGGUAUGUGCUCAGAAGCUGUACCUUCUGCAAGUCAGCGAUCGCUUGCUUCAGUUUCUUUGCAUGGUCAUAGCGCUCCUUCUUGACAGCUUCCCGUUUCCUUUCAUCCAGCCUGCGGAUGAUCUGGGCAACUUCAGGGUCUUGGUACAUGUCAAAAGCCAAGUCAUCAAGUGGAGAGAUGUAGUCAGAUCGCCUAAGGAGAGAAGACGACCCCUUCGGUCAGGAGAGCCAAGAGCUCAUGCUGCACACAGAAAUGAAUCUUUCGGGGCUGGUGAGAUGGCUCAGUGUGUAAGAGCACCCGACUGCUCUUCUGAAGGUCCAGAGUUCAAAUUCCAGCAACCACAUGGUGGCUCACAACCAUCUGUAACGAGAUCUGAUGCCCUCUUCUGGAGUGUCUGAAGACAGCUACAGUGUAUUUACAUAUAAUUAAUAAAUAAAUAAAUCUUAAGAAAUGAA